Molecule: ribosomal RNA, 230 nt
Filed under: uncultured bacterium
Lineage: Bacteria
Description: partial 16S ribosomal RNA
Rfam family: Bacterial small subunit ribosomal RNA
Source: RNAcentral
GGAAUUACUGGGCGUAAAGGGCUCGUAGGUGGCCAACUAAGUCAGACGUGAAAUCCCUCGGCUUAACCGGGGAACUGCGUCUGAUACUGGAUGGCUUGAGUUUGGGAGAGGGAUGCGGAAUUCCAGGUGUAGCGGUGAAAUGCGUAGAUAUCUGGAGGAACACCGGUGGCGAAGGCGGCAUCCUGGACGGUUUCUGACGCUAAGACGCGAAAGCGUGGGGAGCAAACAGG